GAUGAACGCUGGCGGCGUGCCUAAUACAUGCAAGUCGAGCGAACAGAUGAGAAGCCUGCUUCUCUGAUGUUAGCGGCGGACGGGUGAGUAACACGUGGGUAACCUACCUAUAAGACUGGGAUAACUCCGGGAAACCGGGGCUAAUACCGGAUAAUAUAUUGAACCGCAUGGUUCAAUGUUGAAAGACGGUUUCGGCUGUCACUUAUAGAUGGACCCGCGCCGUAUUAGCUAGUUGGUAAGGUAACGGCUUACCAAUGCAACGAUACGUAGCCGACCUGAGAGGGUGAUCGGCCACACUGGAACUGAGACACGGUCCAGACUCCUACGGGAGGCAGCAGUAGGGAAUCUUCCGCAAUGGGCGAAAGCCUGACGGAGCAACGCCGCGUGAGUGAUGAAGGUCUUAGGAUCGUAAAACUCUGUUGUUAGGGAAGAACAAAUUUGUUAGUAACUGAACAAGUCUUGACGGUACCUAACCAGAAAGCCACGGCUAACUUCGUGCCAGCCGCCGCGGUAA
Molecule: ribosomal RNA, 514 nt
Filed under: uncultured bacterium
Lineage: Bacteria
Description: partial 16S ribosomal RNA
Rfam family: Bacterial small subunit ribosomal RNA
Source: RNAcentral